Molecule: ribosomal RNA, 496 nt
Filed under: uncultured bacterium
Lineage: Bacteria
Description: bacterial SSU rRNA
Rfam family: Bacterial small subunit ribosomal RNA
Source: RNAcentral
AGAGUUUGAUUAUGGCUCAGGAUGAACGCUGGCGGCGUGCUUAACACAUGCAAGUCGAACGGAGUUUAGAGAGCUUGCUCUUAAACUUAGUGGCGGACGGGUGAGUAACGCGUGGGUAACCUGCCUUUCACUGGGGGAUAACAGUUAGAAAUGACUGCUAAUACCGCAUAAGCGCACGGGAUCGCAUGAUCUAGUGUGAAAAACUCCGGUGGUGAAAAGAUGGACCCGCGUCUGAUUAGCUAGUUGGUGAGGUAACGGCCCACCAAGGCGGCGAUCAGUAGCCGGCCUGAGAGGGUGAACGGCCACAUUGGGACUGAGACACGGCCCAAACUCCUACGGGAGGCAGCAGUGGGGAAUAUUGCACAAUGGGGGAAACCCUGAUGCCAGCGACGCCGCGUGAGUGAAGAAGUAUUUCGGUAUGUAAAGCUCUAUCAGCAGGGAAGAAAAUGACGGUACCUGACUAAGAAGCCCCGGCUAACUACGUGCCAGCCGCUGC